AUUGAACGCUGGCGGCAGGCCUAACACAUGCAAGUCGAACGGUAACAGGAAGACGCUUGCUUCUUUGCUGACGAGUGGCGGACGGGUGAGUAAUGUCUGGGAAACUGCCUGAUGGAGGGGGAUAACUACUGGAAACGGUAGCUAAUACCGCAUAACGUCGCAAGACCAAAGAGGGGGACCUUCGGGCCUCUUGCCAUCGGAUGUUCCCAGAUGGGAUUAGCUAGUAGGUGGGGUAACGGCUCACCUAGGCGACGAUCCCUAGCUGGUCUGAGAGGAUGACCAGCCACACUGGAACUGAGACACGGUCCAGACUCCUACGGGAGGCAGCAGUGGGGAAUAUUGCACAAUGGGCGCAAGCCUGAUGCAGCCAUGCCGCGUGUAUGAAGAAGGCCUUCGGGUUGUAAAGUACUUUCAGCGGGGAGGAAGGGAGUAAAGUUAAUACCUUUGCUCAUUGACGUUACCCGCAGAAGAAGCACCGGCUAACUCCGUG
Molecule: ribosomal RNA, 490 nt
Filed under: uncultured bacterium
Lineage: Bacteria
Description: partial 16S ribosomal RNA
Rfam family: Bacterial small subunit ribosomal RNA
Source: RNAcentral